RNAcentral lists this ribosomal RNA (260 nucleotides) under uncultured bacterium. RNAcentral describes it as "partial 16S ribosomal RNA". It matches the Rfam family "Bacterial small subunit ribosomal RNA", at positions 94 to 354 of the family's 1533-position model. The record is from RNAcentral.
AGCGGCGGACGGGUGAGUAACGCGUGGGUAACCUGCCUCAUACAGGGGGAUAACAGUUAGAAAUGACUGCUAAUACCGCAUAAGCGCACAGGACCGCAUGGUCCGGUGUGAAAAACUCCGGUGGUAUGAGAUGGACCCGCGUCUGAUUAGUUAGUUGGCGGGGUAACGGCCCACCAAGGCGACGAUCAGUAGCCGGCCUGAGAGGGUGAACGGCCACAUUGGGACUGAGACACGGCCCAAACUCCUACGGAAGGCAGCAG